Molecule: ribosomal RNA, 649 nt
Rfam family: 5.8S ribosomal RNA (bases 232-385)
AACCUGGCGUGGUUGAUGCUGGUCUUUUCGAAGGCAUGUGCACACCUUGCCAUCUUUAUAUCUCCACCUGUGCACCUUUUGUAGACCUGGAUUCAUCUUUCCGAGGCAACUCGGUCGUGAGGAACUGCUUAACAGCUUUCCUUGUUAGUUUCCAGGCCUAUGUUUUCAUAUACACCAUAAGAAUGUAACAGAAUGUCAUUAUUAGGCUUAAUUGCCUUAUAAACUAUAUACAACUUUCAGCAACGGAUCUCUUGGCUCUCGCAUCGAUGAAGAACGCAGCGAAAUGCGAUAAGUAAUGUGAAUUGCAGAAUUCAGUGAAUCAUCGAAUCUUUGAACGCACCUUGCGCUCCUUGGUAUUCCGAGGAGCAUGCCUGUUUGAGUGUCAUUAAAUUCUCAACCUUUAUUAACUUUUUAGCUAGUAAAUGGAUUGGAAGUGGGGGUAUGUUGGUUUCUUUAUUGAAAUGAACUCCCCUGAAAUGCAUUAGCUGGUUGCCUUGUGCAAACAUGUCUAUUGGUGUGAUAAUUAUCUACGCCGUGGACUAUUUGCCGUUUAUAGCACUGCUUAUAACUGUCUGUUCAUUCAGACAAUAUAUGACAAUUUGACCUCAAAUCAGGUAGGACUACCCGCUGAACUUAAGCAUAUCAAUAA